Molecule: transfer RNA, 73 nt
Organism: Mogibacterium sp. CM50
Lineage: Bacteria; Bacillati; Bacillota; Clostridia; Peptostreptococcales; Anaerovoracaceae
Rfam family: tRNA
About the family: Transfer RNA (tRNA) molecules are approximately 80 nucleotides in length. Their secondary structure includes four short double-helical elements and three loops (D, anti-codon, and T loops).
Source: Rfam
GUCUCGAUAGCUCAGGGGACAGAGCACCGCUCUCCUAAAGCGGGUGUCGGAGGUUCGAAUCCUCUUCGGGACA